UUGAAAUGCAAUCCUGUAACUGUUUCAGUCUUUAAAAGUUAAGUGGGUAAUUGAGGAGGUAAGCAAUCUCAGGGUCAACUGUAUACUGAGUUUCUUGAGACUGUAUUGUCCAUCAAACGCACUGACACCAUUUUUCUAAAAUGCUUUGAAAGUGACUUCAUUACCAAAGCUAUGACUGUGAUGCUCCGAGCUCAGAAGCUGACAUGAAGGCACAGCUAUGGUGACCAAGACAGUUUGGAUUGCAUCUUGGAAAAGCAGGAUCUUCUUGACUCACUGUCUUUCAGCCUGUGCCAAGGUUCCAGCUCUCUUUGCUGGAAGGAUAGAUUUCAAGCCCACAAAUCAGUAAGACUUCCAUAUGCUGCCAUGUGGAGUUGGGCAUGUGCAUGAGUGUUUUUCUGGAUCAAGAUUAGAGUUCUCACCAGUUGAAAAGAUUCACUUUGUGGUUUGUGAAGUGCUGCCAGUUCCUCUGGAAUUAAAGAUUUAUAUAAAAUAUCUUUUUUUUUUUUUUUUUUUU
Molecule: long non-coding RNA, 514 nt
Organism: Oxyura jamaicensis (ruddy duck)
Lineage: Eukaryota; Metazoa; Chordata; Aves; Anseriformes; Anatidae
Exons: 2
Source: RefSeq, a predicted model, not a curated record